ACGGAAGUAGUUCAGUGGUAGAACACCACCUUGCCAAGGUGGGGGGCGCGGGUACAAAUAAAGUCUUCCGCUUCA
Molecule: transfer RNA, 75 nt
Filed under: Bacillus salipaludis
Lineage: Bacteria; Bacillati; Bacillota; Bacilli; Caryophanales; Bacillaceae
Description: Bacillus sp. WN066 tRNA-Gly
Rfam family: tRNA
About the family: Transfer RNA (tRNA) molecules are approximately 80 nucleotides in length.
Source: RNAcentral